Long non-coding RNA from Poecilia latipinna (sailfin molly), 714 nucleotides. RefSeq lists it as uncharacterized. The record is from RefSeq and is a predicted model, not a curated record. The transcript has 3 exons. Lineage: Eukaryota; Metazoa; Chordata; Actinopteri; Cyprinodontiformes; Poeciliidae.
CAAGAAUAAUUUAUAUAUACUAAUACAUGUAUUAUAUCCUAAUGUUCAUAUAAUCCACCAUGAAGGUUUUUAUCUGUUAUACCCUUUGUAUUCCUGAACAUCUCUUUCCAUCAGCUCCCACCAGGGGGCGCCACAGCAGAUCCUCAUUCUCCAUCAUAAAUCCUCUUUCCCUCCAUCUCCUCCUUCUCUACAUCCAUUAACUUCUGUUUCUUCCUCUGUUCCUCCUCUCCUGCACCUCCAUGUUCAACAUCCUUUGUCCAGUUGUACUUAUGUAGUAAAUCAUUUAUGUAGGAUAUUUGGACAUUUAAAUUUAGUAUUGAAUAAAAACAAUUAUUUUCCUGCUUGUCGUCGUCAUUCUGAACGUAGAUCCUGAGUUCAGGUGGAUCCAGUGAAUGUGUCUCUGCUGCUCUGACCCCGUGAUGUGGAGGAAGGAGGCGGGUUCAGCUCAGUAAAACCAGCUGAGCUGAAGCUUCAGAUCAGUCAGAGCUACGAUGAGACCAACAUGUCUACCAGCUUCACUCUUUCUGGCCUCAUUGCUGUUCUCAACUGGGGUUAAAGUUCUCCCAGUUCGUCUGACUGUGAGUCCCAGCAGAUCUCAGUUCUUUAGAGGAGAAUCAGUGACUCUGAUCUGUGAGGAUGAAAACAGCUCUGAUGGAGGAACUGUGAGGAGAAACACAACCAGGAAACUGUCUGAGUGUAAAGAUGGAUGGGGAG